Oncorhynchus tshawytscha (Chinook salmon) is the source of this 1044-nucleotide long non-coding RNA. NCBI's taxonomy places the organism in Eukaryota, Metazoa, Chordata, Actinopteri, Salmoniformes, Salmonidae. The record is from Ensembl.
AGAGCGUUGGACUAGUAACCGGAAGGUUAGCGAUGAGGUCAUCAUUAACACGGGAAACACACAGCGAUGAGGUCAUCAUUAACAUGGGGAACACACAGCGAUGAGGUCAUCUUUAACAUGGGGAACACACAGCGAUGAGGUCAUCAUUAACAUGGGUAACACACAGCAAUGUGGUCAUCUUUAACACGGGGAACACACAGCGAUGAGGUCAUCUUUAACACGGGGAACACACAGCGAUGAGGUCAUCUUUAACAUGGGGAAUACACAGCGAUGAGGUCAUCUUUAACACCGGGAACACACAGCGAUGAGGUCAUCAUUAACACGGGGAACACACAGCGAUGAGGUCAUCUGUAACAUGGGUUAGCGUUACUAACCAUAAAACAAUAACUCGACCGAAUGAUGCAAUGAUGUCAUGCGCCAUUAAAGAGGAAUGGCCAAGGAGGCCGACAUAUAUUGAAUUUAAUUCCUUGAAAGAAGAAUGCAAAAAGAGCCAGUACACAGUUCACUAUGUAGAGGAAACAAAAAUAUCAUCAGUGUUGGGUUACUAAUACCUGACAGAGAGGAACCAGGUUGGGUUUAAUCAGAGAUGUUUAAAAGGCAGCUGUUCUUGGGGAUGGGGAGGAGGAGCCAGGGCAAUAGAGUAGGCUGUUGCUAGUAAAUGUAUAAGUGAUGGAAGGAUCCUCUACCAUGCAGUCCAAAGGCCCAGCUCAAAGAGAGAGACACUAAGUUUACUGUAAACACAACCCUGACUCCAACCCUUCUCAAGCCUUCUAAAUCAUAUGGAGAUGGACCAACACCUCCAGGCUUUCUCCCUCAGCAGGAAAACACAGAGCCCAUCACAAUGUUAAAGGACACUGCCAAACAUUUCAUAUUCAUGGGGGACAAUGACUUCCAUAUGAAUGGUGUAAUUGGCGAGGCUUAAAGUCCCAUGGUAGGUAUGCCAGGUUAUUUCAAUGGAGCCCUCAGGCUAGGUGAUCACCAUUAGAUAGAUAUGGCUGGCAGUGGACCUACUCCAUCUUCAGGGGGUAGGAACGGAGGAACGGA